RNAcentral lists this transfer RNA (73 nucleotides) under Felis catus (domestic cat). It matches the Rfam family "tRNA". From Rfam's summary of the family: Transfer RNA (tRNA) molecules are approximately 80 nucleotides in length. RNAcentral also lists the same sequence under 1 other name. The record is from Rfam by way of RNAcentral. Lineage: Eukaryota; Metazoa; Chordata; Mammalia; Carnivora; Felidae.
ACCCCGCUGGCUCAGUUGGUGGAGCAUGUGACUCUUGAUCUCAUGGUCAUGAGUUUGAGCCCCAUGUUGGGUA